ACGGUGCAUAGACUGUUUUUUUUUUCUCGUUAGUUUUCAUGGUCAAUAUGAGAGAUCGUGUGGCAGAUCUUAAAAUAAAUCAAUAUUGAUUUUUUUAAUAGAGCGUUAAAGUUUUGCGAAGCCAGGGGGCGGGACUACUUGAUUGACAGGCCGGUCCGGAAUGAUUGACAGGUCCUAUGGUGGAGGCAGCAGAGACUCUGCUCUCCUGGUUUGGAUUAAUUCUGUCAAGAGACACUGAAAGACUCCGACAGCUGAGUGAGAGUAGCAGUUCCUCCUGAAGGUCAGAGAUUGCAGCAUCUGAGGGCCUCUUCAAAAGAAGACGUAGUUGAUGAAGGCGUUCUGGAGCAGGACCAGAAAGACCACAACCAAGCAGCCAUGAGAUGUUAGGCAGCGUCUCCCUCAGGUCCCUCUCUAUCUCCCCACACAUCCACCAACCACUGGAACACAUCUCCAAAGUUCUGCCGGGCCAGCUCAGCUUCCCCUCAGAAGAAGUGCUGCCACCUGCCAGAUGAAGGAGCCUUUUGAGAGGCAGCUGGCAUCGUGAUUGGACUGUACUUUGGUCUGUUCCAAUCCAGCUUCAGCUCCAGAGACGGCAGGCGGGACGAGUCAACAGAGGCCGGAUGGACGAAGACAUGCAGCUGAGUACAAUCCAGAAAACAACAGAGGAGGAGUGCAGGGCCCAGGGCCAGAACAACCAGAGUAGCAUCGUAUGUCUCUUAGAAAACAUCAUAGUAUAGCCUUUGGUAUGAAAAAACGCCAUCAUAUACAUCGUAUAUUGUACAAAUAACAAGUGAAAGCAAAGAGACAUACAUUGUAGAAUUGUAGUAAUUGUGGACUGACUGAUGUACUGAUUAUCAGUAUUUUAUUUUUUACUGAUCUACAGUAAUAAAUACAUUUAAAAAUGG
Long non-coding RNA from Amphiprion ocellaris (clown anemonefish), 905 nucleotides. RefSeq lists it as uncharacterized. Lineage: Eukaryota; Metazoa; Chordata; Actinopteri; Pomacentridae. The transcript has 3 exons. The record is from RefSeq and is a predicted model, not a curated record.